CAAGGGCUGCGGCGUUCGCAAAGGGACUGAUCUCCGGCGACCUUAAUUUCCGUCAGGGAGCCGGCAUUCUGGGCAGGGCCGUGGUCCUGCCUCACCUGGCACCCACCUAGUCUCUAGGUUGACGGGAGUGAAUAUGCCCAGCGGCGCAUGUGGUUCUUGU
Molecule: non-coding RNA, 160 nt
Organism: Hyphomonadaceae bacterium BRH_c29
Lineage: Bacteria; Pseudomonadati; Pseudomonadota; Alphaproteobacteria; Hyphomonadales; Hyphomonadaceae
Source: Rfam